Molecule: ribosomal RNA, 238 nt
Filed under: uncultured bacterium
Lineage: Bacteria
Description: partial 16S ribosomal RNA
Rfam family: Bacterial small subunit ribosomal RNA
Source: RNAcentral
GAUCAUGGCUCAGGACGAACGCUGGCGGCGUGCUUAACACAUGCAAGUCGAACGAGAAUCUACUGAAGGAGUUUUCGGACAACGGAUGUAGAGGAAAGUGGCGGACGGGUGAGUAACGCGUGAGGAACCUGCCUUGAAGAGGGGGACAACAGUUGGAAACGGCUGCUAAUACCGCAUGACGCAUAGGGGUCGCAUGAUCUUUAUGCCAAAGAUUUAUCGCUUCAAGAUGGCCUCGCGU